RNAcentral lists this ribosomal RNA (927 nucleotides) under Rigidoporus hypobrunneus. RNAcentral's name for it is "partial large subunit ribosomal RNA". Lineage: Eukaryota; Fungi; Basidiomycota; Agaricomycetes; Polyporales; Meripilaceae. The record is from RNAcentral.
GCAUAUCAAUAAGCGGAGGAAAAGAAACUAACAAGGAUUCCCCUAGUAACUGCGAGUGAAGCGGGAAAAGCUCAAAUUUAAAAUCUGGCAGUCUUUGGCUGUCCGAGUUGUAGUCUGGAGAAGCGUUUUCCGCGCUGGACCGUGUAUAAGUCCCUUGGAAUAGGGCGUCAUAGAGGGUGAGAAUCCCGUCUUUGACACGGACUACCAGUGCUUUGUGAUGCGCUCUCAAAGAGUCGAGUUGUUUGGGAAUGCAGCUCAAAAUGGGUGGUAAAUUCCAUCUAAAGCUAAAUAUUGGCGAGAGACCGAUAGCGAACAAGUACCGUGAGGGAAAGAUGAAAAGCACUUUGGAAAGAGAGUUAAACAGUACGUGAAAUUGCUGAAAGGGAAACGCUUGAAGUCAGUCGCGUUAUKCAGAACUCAGCCUGGCUUUUGCUUGGUGUAUUUUCUGUAUGACGGGCCAGCAUCAAUUUUGGCCGCUGGAAAAAGGCUCUAGAAAUGUGGCACCUCCGGGUGUGUUAUAGUCUAGGGUCAUAUACAGCGGCUGGGAUUGAGGUCUGCAGCACGCCUUUAUGGCUGGGGUUCGCCCACAUUCGUGCUUAGGAUGCUGGCGUAAUGGCUUUAAACGACCCGUCUUGAAACACGGACCAAGGAGUCUAACAUGCCUGCGAGUGUUUGGGUGGAAAACCCGAGCGCGUAAUGAAAGUGAAAGUUGAGAUCCCUGUCGUGGGGAGCAUCGACGCCCGGACCAGACCUUUUGUGACGGAUCUGCGGUAGAGCAUGUAUGUUGGGACCCGAAAGAUGGUGAACUAUGCCUGAAUAGGGUGAAGCCAGAGGAAACUCUGGUGGAGGCUCGUAGCGAUUCUGACGUGCAAAUCGAUCGUCAAAUUUGGGUAUAGGGGCGAAAGACUAAUUCGAACCCUUUUGCCC